RNAcentral lists this ribosomal RNA (439 nucleotides) under uncultured bacterium. RNAcentral's name for it is "partial 16S ribosomal RNA". It matches the Rfam family "Bacterial small subunit ribosomal RNA", at positions 339 to 795 of the family's 1533-position model. The record is from RNAcentral.
CUACGGGUGGCACCAGUGGGGAAUAUUGCACAAUGGAGGAAACUCUGAUGCAGCAACGCCGCGUGGAGGAUGACACUUUUCGGAGCGUAAACUCCUUUUAUAUGGGAAGAAGAUGACGGUACUAUAUGAAUAAGCGCCGGCUAACUCCGUGCCAGCAGCCGCGGUAAUACGGAGGGCGCAAGCGUUACUCGGAAUCACUGGGCGUAAAGAGCGUGUAGGCGGAUUAAAAAGUCAGAAGUGAAAUCCUAUAGCUUAACUAUAGAACUGCUUCUGAAACUCUUAAUCUAGAAUAUGGGAGAGGUAGAUGGAAUUUCUGGUGUAGGGGUAAAAUCCGUAGAGAUCAGAAGGAAUACCGAUUGCGAAGGCGAGCCACUGGAAGAUGAGUGACGCUGAGACGCGAAAGCUUGGAGAGCAAAGAGGAUUAGAUACCCGUGUAGUC